AGAACGAACGCUGGCGGCAUGCCUAACACAUGCAAGUCGAACGCUCUUGGGGCUUCGGUUCCAAGGGAGUGGCGCACGGGUGAGUAGCGCGUGGGAACCUGCCCUGGAGUGGGGGAUAACCGAGGGAAACUUCGGCUAAUACCGCAUGCGCCCGGGAAACCGGGGAAAGAUUUAUCGCUCUAGGAGGGGCCCGCGUCGGAUUAGCUAGUUGGUGGGGUAACGGCCUACCAAGGCUUUGAUCCGUAGCUGGUCUGAGAGGAUGAUCAGCCACACUGGGACUGAGACACGGCCCAGACUCCUACGGGAGGCAGCAGUGGGGAAUAUUGGACAAUGGGCGCAAGCCUGAUCCAGCAAUGCCGCGUGAGUGAUGAAGGCCUUCGGGUUGUAAAGCUCUUUCGCACGCGAGGAUGAUGACGCUAGCGUGAGAAGAAGCCCCGGCUAACUUCGUGUCAGCAGCCGC
Molecule: ribosomal RNA, 460 nt
Filed under: uncultured bacterium
Lineage: Bacteria
Description: SSU rRNA
Rfam family: Bacterial small subunit ribosomal RNA
Source: RNAcentral